This 373-nucleotide ribosomal RNA is filed under the name uncultured bacterium. RNAcentral's name for it is "bacterial SSU rRNA". It matches the Rfam family "Bacterial small subunit ribosomal RNA", at positions 527 to 898 of the family's 1533-position model. The record is from RNAcentral.
GUAGGGGGCAAGCGUUGUCCGGAAUCAUUGGGCGUAAAGCGCGCGUAGGCGGCCUCACAAGUCCGCUGUAAAAGUCAAAGGCUCAACCUUUGAAUGCCAGUGGAAACUGUGAGGCUAGAGUCCGGAAGAGGCGAGUGGAACUCCUGGUGUAGCGGUGGAAUGCGCAGAUAUCAGGAAGAACACCAACGGCGAAGGCAGCUCGCUGGGACGGUACUGACGCUGAGGCGCGAAAGCGUGGGGAGCAAACAGGAUUAGAUACCCUGGUAGUCCACGCCGUAAACGAUGGGCACUAGGUGUGGGAGGUGUCGACUCCUCCCGUGCCGGCGCUAACGCAUUAAGUGCCCCGCCUGGGGAGUACGGCCGCAAGGCUAAA